CCGUCGGGAGAAGGGGGGCCACAGACCGUGAAACCCCAUGCGGGUGGCAGCGGUAGGUGGCCGCAGAGACCAGGGGGAAGCGACUGUUUACUAAAAACACAGGUCCGUGCGAAGUCGUAAGACGAUGUAUACGGACUGACGCCUGCCCGGUGCUGGAACGUUAAGGGGACCGGUUAGUCCGCAAGGGCGAAGCUGAGAACUUAAGCGCCAGUAAACGGCGGUGGUAACUAUAACCAUCCUAAGGUAGCGAAAUUCCUUGUCGGGUAAGUUCCGACCUGCACGAAUGGCGUAACGACUUCCCUACUGUCUCAACCACAGGCCCGGCGAAAUUGCACUACGAGUAAAGAUGCUCGUUACGCGCGGAAGGACGGAAAGACCCCGGGACCUUCACUAUAGCUUGACAUUGGUACUCGAAUUGAAUUGUGUAGUAUAGGUGGGAGACUAUGAAGCUCGGACGCCAGUCCGGGUGGAGUCAACGUUGAAAUACCACUCUGUUGAAUUUGGGUAUCUAACUUCGGACCGUGAUCCGGUUCAGGGACAGUGUCUGGUGGGUAGUUUAACUGGGGCGGUUGCCUCCUAAAAUGUAACGGAGGCGCCCAAAGGUUCCCUCAGCCUGGUUGGCAAUCAGGUGUUGAGUGCAAGUGCACAAGGGAGCUUGACUGUGAGACUGACAGGUCGAGCAGGGACGAAAGUCGGGACUAGUGAUCCGGCACCGGCGAGUGGAAGCGGUGUCGCUCAACGGAUAAAAGGUACCCCGGGGAUAACAGGCUGAUCUUCCCCAAAAGUCCAUAUCGACGGGAUGGUUUGGCACCUCGAUGUCGGCUCGUCGCAUCCUGGGGCUGGAGUAGGUCCCAAGGGUUGGGCUGUUCGCCCAUUAAAGCGGCACGCGAGCUGGGUUUAGAACGUCGUGAGACAGUUCGGUCCCUAUCCUCCGCGCGCGCAGGAGACUUGAGAAGAGCUGUCCCUAGUACGAGAGGACCGGGACGGACGAACCUCUGGUGUGCCAGUUGUCAUGCCAAUGGCACGGCUGGUUAGCUACGUUCGGAAGGGAUAACCGCUGAAAGCAUCUAAGCGGGAAGCCUGCUUCAAGAUGAGGUCUCCCACCCCCUCGAGGGUUAAGGCCCCCAGCAAGACCACUGGGUUGAUAGGCCAGAAGUGUAAGCCUGGUAACAGGUUCAGCCGACUGGUACUAAUAGGCCGAGGACUUCACCAC
This 1213-nucleotide ribosomal RNA is filed under the name metagenome. RNAcentral's name for it is "bacterial LSU rRNA". It matches the Rfam family "Bacterial large subunit ribosomal RNA", at positions 1733 to 2925 of the family's 2925-position model. The record is from RNAcentral.